This 1167-nucleotide long non-coding RNA is filed under the name Anas platyrhynchos (mallard). Its description in RNAcentral is "lncRNA (ENSAPLG00020004820.1)". Lineage: Eukaryota; Metazoa; Chordata; Aves; Anseriformes; Anatidae. The record is from RNAcentral.
CCGGGUGACGGCGCGGCCCCGCUGGGUGCCCCCCGGCGGCUGCCGGCAGCGGGGGGGCCGGGGUCGGGGUCGGCGGGGCCCCCCCGAGCCCCCCGGAGCCCCCCGAGCCGCCCCCUGCUCGGCCGGCGCGGGGGCAGCAUGAGCGCGGCCAAGCCCAAGCGCAUCAAGUUCUCCGAGGAGGAGAAAUUCCUCAUCCUGGAGGAGUUCAGCCUGCGCAAGGACAUCCUCAUCCCCAAGAGCGGCCGCUACAAGAACACACUGGACCGGCAGCGGGCCUGGGAGGAGAUCGCGGCCGCCGUCAACUCGCUGAGCCCCCUGGUGCAGCGCACGCCCGACGAGAUCCGCAAGAAGUGGCACAACAUGGUCAUUGACGCCCGCAAGGAGCUGGCCAUGGAGAAGCACCCGCUGCUCCGCCAGCGGCCCCAGGAGAAGCUCUUCCACAACAUCUUCGCCCUCUUCAACAAGCCCAGCCCGCAGCUGCCCGACCCGCUGCUCUCGGGAUCGUCCUUCAGGGUGACGGCGGCCGGGGUCCCGCCGGGGCCACCCGCGCCCCUCUGCGUGGCCGGGGGGAUGCUGGAGGUCGCCCCGGACUUGCUGCUGCACGGCCAGAGCGGUGCCACUGCCCCGGCCCGCGGGAUGCUCUGUGCCACCGGCACCCCCGGCCCCGCUCCCGAUGGCUUCCUCGGUGCCCCCGGUGCGGAGCCCGACUCCAAGCAGAGCUUGCUGCCGGCAGGCCCACAGCCCGGCGUGGAGAAGAGACUGCUGCCCCCCGGCACGGCAGCCCCCGGUCCCGCCUCACCGCAGGGCACGGCCCCGGUGCUGCCGUCCAGCUCCCCCGAGCCCCCCCGGAUCAAGUGCCCGCUGAGCCCGGCGCUGGCGUGGCCGUGCCUCGGCAUGACGGCGAGCCCCACGGCGCAGAGCGGGGACAGCCCCGGCCCCCCGGCCUCCCAGGAGAAUGGCAGCCCGACGGCACCGGCCGAGCCCCUGCUGGGGCCGCGGGGCUGCGGCCACACAGCCCGGGAGGUGUCGGAGAAGCAGAGCCGGCUGCACACGGAGAUCCUGGAGCUGCAGAAGGAGACCCUGCAGCUGCAGAAGGAGAAGAUCCUGCUGGAGAAGGAGAAGCUCCUCCUGGAAAUCAUCAAACUCCGCCGGGAGCUGGGCACGUGA